GAGCGGGGGUGAAGAGGCGCGGGGGCGGCCAUUCGAAGAGGCAUGGCGGUUGCGAUAUUGUGAAUUUGUGAAAAUUGAUUAAAUUCGUAUUAAACAUAUAAUAUCAUUGAAUUCGUAAGUGUUUUUCUAAUAUUUCAGAAGUGACAAGUACACAUCGCUCCACGAACUUGGCUACAUUCCAGGAUAUACCGGAGUCAAGGGAGGAAUAAAAUCUGCCACUACGUUUACUUUGUUGGUGGAAAUGGAUACAAACCAUACCCUUUACUGGAUUAAACCAACCGAAUCUCUGGAUGACUACAAAAGGCGGAUGGAGAAAUAAACUUCAAAAGAGCGGAAGAAAAUAGACAAAAUUGUUAUAGGAGUAAAGCAGUUAACUUGAAGAAAUUAUGGAAACUGAUUUACUUCACAAUCAUUAUCAUGAAACUGUAUGAGGACAUACCACGUACAGCUCGAAUGGCCGACACGGAAUAGGGUCAUUCCGUUAACAGGACGGCCGUCUAUUAGCUGUAUAACUUAAAUAAAUUAUUCAAAAAGUAAUAAUUUAAAGAAUAAGCUGGCAACCCCAAGAGAGAGCGGGGGUGAAGAGGCGCGGGGGCGGCCAUUCGAAGAGGCAUGGCGGUUGCGAUAUUGUGAAUUUG
Long non-coding RNA from Helicoverpa armigera (cotton bollworm), 638 nucleotides. RefSeq lists it as uncharacterized. Lineage: Eukaryota; Metazoa; Arthropoda; Insecta; Lepidoptera; Noctuidae. The record is from RefSeq and is a predicted model, not a curated record. The transcript has 3 exons.